RNAcentral lists this ribosomal RNA (684 nucleotides) under Triticum aestivum (bread wheat). RNAcentral describes it as "partial small subunit ribosomal RNA". Lineage: Eukaryota; Viridiplantae; Streptophyta; Magnoliopsida; Poales; Poaceae. The record is from RNAcentral.
AUGCUGCUUACAUGUCCUUGGAAACCCUCCAUAAUAGUAGGAGGCAAGUUCAAGAGAAAUGAUAAGAUGGACGUGGCUGCAAUAUUUGGAGCACAUGUUCGAGUUAUUCAAAGAAUAUGGGAGACAGCAAUGAUACAGAAAGGCCUUGGUCAGGAGGUGUCAAACAAAAGAAAGGAAAAUUGUGGGAGGAAACCUUAUGAUGAUAUCCUAUCUUNNNNNNNNNNNNNUACCUUAAACAAGAGGUCAACUAUUCGAUCACUAGCAAAGGCACUGGGUGUAAGCCCUACAACACUAUACAAGAAGUUUAUGCUGAAUAAGAUAAGGAGACACUCCAACGGUGUAAAGCCAAUACUGACAGACAAAAAUAAGAGAGAUAGGGUGGAUUUUUGCCUAUCCAUGCUAGAUGUGGCAACAUUAGGAGAUGUAAGCCCAUAUUUCAGGAGUACGCACAAUAUUGUGCACAUUGAUGAGAAAUGGUCCUGCAUAACCAAGAAAAGGAACUACUAUCUGCUGCCUGACGAAGAGGACCCGGAAAGACCUAUUAAAAACUCUAUUGGAAAAGUGAUGUUUCUCAGAGCGGUAGCAAGACCACGGUACGAUGAAGAUGGAAGCAUGACAUUCUCCGGAAAAAUUGGGGUCUGGCCAUUCGUGAGUGACUGCAGCAGCAAAAAGAAGCAAUAUUAG